CAGUCGCCGCGGGAAUACAGAGGGUGCGAGCGUUAAUUGGAUUUACUGGGCGUAAAGCGUGCGUAGGCGGCUUUUUAAGUCGGAUGUGAAAUCCCUGAGCUUAACUUAGGAAUUGCAUUCGAUACUGGGAAGCUAGAGUAUGGGAGAGGAUGGUAGAAUUCCAGGUGUAGCGGUGAAAUGCGUAGAGAUCUGGAGGAAUACCGAUGGCGAAGGCAGCCAUCUGGCCUAAUACUGACGCUGAGGUACGAAAGCAUGGGGAGCAAACAGGAUUAGAUACCCCGGUAGUCCCUGUCUCUUAUAC
RNAcentral lists this ribosomal RNA (301 nucleotides) under uncultured bacterium. Its description in RNAcentral is "partial 16S ribosomal RNA". It matches the Rfam family "Bacterial small subunit ribosomal RNA", at positions 509 to 807 of the family's 1533-position model. The record is from RNAcentral.